GGGGAUGUAGCUCAGUUGGUAGAGCGCUUGCUUAACAUGUAUGAAGCUUUGGGUUCAAUCCCUGGUACCCCA
RNAcentral lists this transfer RNA (72 nucleotides) under Neotoma lepida (desert woodrat). It matches the Rfam family "tRNA". Rfam says of the family: Transfer RNA (tRNA) molecules are approximately 80 nucleotides in length. Their secondary structure includes four short double-helical elements and three loops (D, anti-codon, and T loops). Further hydrogen bonds mediate the characteristic L-shaped molecular structure. tRNAs have two regions of fundamental functional importance: the anti-codon, which is responsible for specific mRNA codon recognition, and the 3' end, to which the tRNAs corresponding amino acid is attached (by aminoacyl-tRNA synthetases). tRNAs cope with the degeneracy of the genetic code in two manners: having more than one tRNA (with a specific anti-codon) for a particular amino acid; and 'wobble' base-pairing, i.e. permitting non-standard base-pairing at the 3rd anti-codon position. The record is from Rfam by way of RNAcentral. Lineage: Eukaryota; Metazoa; Chordata; Mammalia; Rodentia; Cricetidae.